CAUGCNAGUCGAGGGGCAGCAUGUAACUUAGCUUGCUAAGUUUGAUGGCGACCGGCGCACGGGUGAGUAACACGUAUCCAACCUGCCGAUGACUCGGGGAUAGCCUUUCGAAAGAAAGAUUAAUACCCGAUGGCAUANUUCUUCCGCAUGGUAGAANUAUUAAAGAAUUUCGGUCAUCGAUGGGGAUGCGUUCCAUUAGGUUGUUGGCGGGGUAACGGCCCACCAAGCCUUCGAUGGAUAGGGGUUCUGAGAGGAAGGUCCCCCACAUUGGAACUGAGACACGGUCCAAACUCCUACGGGAGGCAGCAGUGAGGAAUAUUGGUCAAUGGACGAGAGUCUGAACCAGCCAAGUAGCGUGAAGGAUGACUGCCCUAUGGGUUGUAAACUUCUUUUAUACGGGAAUAAAGUGAGGCACGUGUGCCUUUUUGUAUGUACCGUAUGAAUAAGGAUCGGCUAACUCCGUGCCAGCAGCCGCGGUAAUACGGAGGAUCCGAGCGUUAUCCGGAUUUAUUGGGUUUAAAGGGAGCGUAGGCGGACGCUUAAGUCAGUUGUGAAAGUUUGCGGCUCAACCGUAAAAAUUGCAGUUGAUACUGGGUGUCUUGAGUACAGUAGAGGCAGGCGGAAUUCGUGGUGUAGCGGUGAAAUGCUUAGAUAUCACGAAGAACUCCGAUUGCGAAGGCAGCUUGCUGGACUGUAACUGACGCUGAUGCUCGAAAGUGUGGGUAUCAAACAGGAUUAGAUACCCUGGUAGUCCACACAGUAAACGAUGAAUACUCGCUGUUUGCGAUAUACAGUAAGCGGCCAAGCGAAAGCGUUAAGUAUUCCACCUGGGGAGUACGCCGGCAACGGUGAAACUCAAAGGAAUUGACGGGGGCCCGCACAAGCGGAGGAACAUGUGGUUUAAUUCGAUGAUACGCGAGGAACCUUACCCGGGCUUGAAUUGCAACUGAAUGAUGUGGAGACAUGUCAGCCGCAAGGCAGUUGUGAAGGUGCUGCAUGGUUGUCCUCAGCUCGUGCCGUGAGGUGUCGGCUUAAGUGCCAUAACGAGCGCAACCCUUAUCGAUAGUUACCAUCAGGUUAUGCUGGGGACUCUGUCGAGACUGCCGUCGUAAGAUGUGAGGAAGGUGGGGAUGACGUCAAAUCAGCACGGCCCUUACGUCCGGGGCUACACACGUGUUACAAUGGGGGGUACAGAAGGCAGCUACACGGCGACGUGAUGCUAAUCCCUAAAGCCUCUCUCAGUUCGGAUUGGAGUCUGCAACCCGACUCCAUGAAGCUGGAUUCGCUAGUAAUCGCGCAUCAGCCACGGCGCGGUGAAUACGUUCCCGGGCCUUGUACACACCGCCCGUCAAGCCAUGAAAGCCGGGGGUAACCUGAAGUGCGUAACCGCAAGAG
This 1395-nucleotide ribosomal RNA is filed under the name bacterium NLAE-zl-P447. Its description in RNAcentral is "16S ribosomal RNA". It matches the Rfam family "Bacterial small subunit ribosomal RNA". The record is from RNAcentral.